UACGUAGGGGGCUAGCGUUGUCCGGAAUCAUUGAGCGUAAAGAGCGUGUAGGCGGCCCGGUAAGUCCGCUGUGAAAGUCGGGGGCUCAACCCUCGGAUGCCGGUGGAUACUGUCGGGCUCGAGUACGGAAGAGGCGAGUGGAAUUCCUGGUGUAGCGGUGAAAUGCGCAGAUAUCAGGAGGAACACCUAUUGCGAAGGCAGCUCGCUGGGACGUUACUGACGCUGAGACGCGAAAGCGUGGGGAGCAAACAGG
RNAcentral lists this ribosomal RNA (253 nucleotides) under uncultured bacterium. RNAcentral's name for it is "partial 16S ribosomal RNA". It matches the Rfam family "Bacterial small subunit ribosomal RNA", at positions 524 to 776 of the family's 1533-position model. The record is from RNAcentral.